AUUGAACGCUGGCGGCAGGCCUAACACAUGCAAGUCGAACGGUAACAGGAAGAAGCUUGCUUCUUUGCUGACGAGUGGCGGACGGGUGAGUAAUGUCUGGGAAACUGCCUGAUGGAGGGGGAUAACUACUGGAAACGGUAGCUACUACCGCCUAACGUCGCAAGACCAAAAAGGGGGACGUUCAGGCCACUUGCCACCGGAUGUGCCCAGAUGGGAUUAGCUAGUAGGUGGGGUAACGGCUCCCCUAGGCGACGAUCACGAGCUGGUCUGAGAGGAUGACCAGCCACACUGGAAGUGAGACACGGUCCAGACUCCUACGGGAGGCAGCAGUGGGGAAUAUUGCGCGAUGGGCGCAAGCCUGAUGCAGCCAUGCCGCGUGUAUGAAGAAGGCCUUCGGGUUGUAAAGUACUUUCAGCGGGGAGGAAGGGAGUAAAGGUAAUACCGUUGCUCAUUGACGUUACCCGCAGAAGAAGCCCCGGCUAACUCCGUG
Molecule: ribosomal RNA, 490 nt
Filed under: uncultured bacterium
Lineage: Bacteria
Description: partial 16S ribosomal RNA
Rfam family: Bacterial small subunit ribosomal RNA
Source: RNAcentral